GGGGCAAGGUCGAGCGGACCGACGGGAGCUUGCUCCCUUAGGUCAGCGGCGGACGGGUGAGUAACACGUGGGUAACCUGCCUGUAAGACUGGGAUAACUCCGGGAAACCGGGGCUAAUACCGGAUGCUUGAUUGAACCGCAUGGUUCAAUCAUAAAAGGUGGCUUUUAGCUACCACUUACAGAUGGACCCGCGGCGCAUUAGCUAGUUGGUGAGGUAACGGCUCACCAAGGCGACGAUGCGUAGCCGACCUGAGAGGGUGAUCGGCCACACUGGGACUGAGACACGGCCCAGACUCCUACGGGAGGCAGCAGUAGGGAAUCUUCCGCAAUGGACGAAAGUCUGACGGAGCAACGCCGCGUGAGUGAUGAAGGUUUUCGGAUCGUAAAACUCUGUUGUUAGGGAAGAACAAGUACCGUUCGAAUAGGGCGGCACCUUGACGGUACCUAACCAGAAAGCCACGGCUAACUACGUGCCAGCAGCCGCGGUAAUACGUAGGUGGCAAGCGUUGUCCGGAAUUAUUGGGCGUAAAGCGCGCGCAGGCGGUUUCUUAAGUCUGAUGUGAAAGCCCCCGGCUCAACCGGGGAGGGUCAUUGGAAACUGGGGAACUUGAGUGCAGAAGAGGAGAGUGGAAUUCCACGUGUAGCGGUGAAAUGCGUAGAGAUGUGGAGGAACACCAGUGGCGAAGGCGACUCUCUGGUCUGUAACUGACGCUGAGGCGCGAAAGCGUGGGGAGCGAACAGGAUUAGAUACCCUGGUAGUCCACGCCGUAAACGAUGAGUGCUAAGUGUUAGAGGGUUUCCGCCCUUUAGUGCUGCAGCAAACGCAUUAAGCACUCCGCCUGGGGAGUACGGUCGCAAGACUGAAACUCAAGGAAUUGACGGGGGCCCGCACAAGCGGUGGAGCAUGUGGUUUAAUUCGAAGCAACGCGAAGAACCUUACCAGGUCUUGACAUCCUCU
This 958-nucleotide ribosomal RNA is filed under the name uncultured prokaryote. RNAcentral describes it as "bacterial SSU rRNA". It matches the Rfam family "Bacterial small subunit ribosomal RNA", at positions 54 to 992 of the family's 1533-position model. The record is from RNAcentral.